RNAcentral lists this non-coding RNA (181 nucleotides) under Mediterraneibacter glycyrrhizinilyticus. RNAcentral describes it as "6S RNA". It matches the Rfam family "6S / SsrS RNA". Rfam says of the family: E. coli 6S RNA was the first non coding RNA to be sequenced, but its function was unknown until recently. It consists of 184 nucleotides that fold into an extended hairpin structure with a large single-stranded internal bulge. The 6S RNA specifically associates with RNA polymerase holoenzyme containing the sigma70 specificity factor. The record is from RNAcentral. Lineage: Bacteria; Bacillati; Bacillota; Clostridia; Lachnospirales; Lachnospiraceae. RNAcentral also lists the same sequence under 6 other names.
AAUAACCUGGGGUGUUCGAUACCCCUGUCAUUUUGAACCUACAUUACUUUAAACGGGAUUCCUACAUCUCUGUAAUAUGUCAAGCCGCCGUUUAUGCAGCGGAAGACAAAAAAGCAGAUGCGGUCGCCCACCUAGCGUCAGCUAGGAGUCAAAAUACAGGGAACGGCAUUUUGGGGACUCA